This 1398-nucleotide long non-coding RNA is filed under the name Mytilus galloprovincialis (Mediterranean mussel). The record is from RNAcentral. Lineage: Eukaryota; Metazoa; Mollusca; Bivalvia; Mytilida; Mytilidae.
UAUAAAAGCAACCUAGUUCCAGAAUUUUAAGUUAAGUAUAAUAAGUACAAAUUACUGCUAACAUUUCUCAGUGUGACUGUUUAAAUCAAAGUAUCUAAUGUAUUUUCAGAUUGCUAGUAGACUAAAGUAAUUUUAAAAAUUGUUUCUAAAUAUAAUAUUACAUGACUCUCUGACAGAUGCAAAAGUUAAGUGUUAAAAUAUUUUUUUUUAAUUUCUAAUAAUUGAAUAAGCACAUACAAGUUGUGCUUAUUCCAAAUAAAUUCCGGUUAACAGACCAAAAUGCAGUGAUAAAAGGAAGGAACCACAACACAUUGGAUAUGCCAGGAUCUCCUACAGAUAAAGACACAUCUAUUUAAUUAAAAAAAAAAAAAAAUGUCCAAUACCCAGUUCUACAUUCUAUUUUAGGCAAUUAAAUGAAAAACUUUUAUAUAUAUUUUCUGCAAAACUUAAACUAAUGAUAGGGAUAAUUUCUAUUUGAAAAACAGUACUUUAGUAUGGAAUAAAGAUUAUAUAUACAGCAUUUAAUGAUUUAAGUGCAUUUUUCUAAAAGUAUCUACUUUGGGUUAAUAUAAUUAUUUUCUAUCAAAUGGAAAAAUUGUACAGCAAAAAAAAAGAAAGAAAGAAAAAAAAAGAUAAAUAAAUAAAUUAAGAAAAUGGUAGAGAUUGUACAACUAUACUAACUUGAAAUCAGUUGAUGAAAUUUUAUAUGAUGACUUUAUAUUGCAUUAAUACAAGCAAAAUAAAAUGAUUUCUCCCUGAGUUUGAUCCUUACUUCCAAAUUUGUAGAAAUGAAUAAGGUCAAAAAGUAUUCUGACAAAGCUAAAAUGACAAAUAAAAUUGCAAAAUGAGCGAACAAAACAAAAUAAACAAAUUAAUGAACACAUGGGUAAAUGUUAUAUGUAAAACAAGAGUUCACUCCCUUUUAUCAAUACACAUGUCACAUCUGCUGGGUUUGCCAUUUCACAUAAUGUAAGUCAUGACUGCUAAUUAGAAAAUGCCAUAAUAAAAAAUCUAUUUAAUAAGAGGACAGGAGAAAAAGAUUUGAUGAAUCUGAAUGAUAAAAGAUUUUUAGAUAACUACAUACUUGCACCAAACCAAACUAUACAUUAUUCUGUUAGCACUGCUCUUACAAAUAAAUAGAAGUUUUUGACAAAAUAGACAUUAAAUUACUGCAUUAAAUUCCUGCUCAAAUGUAUUGCAUCUUUGCCUUCUACAUAAUUAUGUACAAGUCAAAUUUCAAUUUUCUUAUAUAAUUUCUACAUGUUAGUUCAACUGCAUCUUGAAUGGUAUAAUAUAUCAGAGCUUUAAACAUAUUAAUAAAAAUGCCAGUAAUAAACACGUUGACUUUACAAUCAAACAGGAAAAGUAAAGGCAUCGAAAAAUAUCACGAAAUGUUUG